Molecule: ribosomal RNA, 386 nt
Filed under: uncultured bacterium
Lineage: Bacteria
Description: bacterial SSU rRNA
Rfam family: Bacterial small subunit ribosomal RNA
Source: RNAcentral
GAUCAACGCUGGCGGCGUGCAUGAGACAUGCAAGUCGAACGGAUGACUCGGGCUUGCUCGAGUCGUUAGUGGCGGACGGCUGAGUAACGCGUGGGUGACCUGCCCCGAAGUGGGGAAUAACUGCCCGAAAGGGUGGCUAAUACCGCAUGUGGUGGUGCGUUCAAUUGCACCAGUAAAGCCGCAAGGCGCUUCGGGAGGGGCCUGCGUCCGAUUAGCUCGUUGGGGGGUAACGGCUCACCAAGGCGACGAUCGGUAGGUGGUCUGAGAGGACGAUCACCCAGACUGGGACUGAGACACGGCCCAGACUCCUACGGGAGGCAGCAGUCGGGAAUUUUGCUCAAUGGGGGAAACCCUGAAGCAGCAACGCCGCGUGAGGGAUGAAGGCC